UGAAAAGGAGAAAAGAAUAAUAGGAAAUAAACAAAACAAUUGAGCAUAAACAGUAUGAAUGUCAUCUUUAAUACACAAAAAUUGAAAUUCAGAUAUCAAUAAGAAGAAUAAUAACAAUCAAACUGCUACAUCUAAAUUACUAUCUCAGAGAUUUGAUUGACUAGCAGCAAUAUUAUGUACAUCUUCUAAUUUUCCAUUUAUAAAACAGAUGCACAGUAUGCCAACUAAUUUAGUUGGUUAAGUCACUAUUUUUCGGUAUCAGUGACUUGGGUUCAAGACCUGUGUUGCCCAAGGUGACAACCCAAGAGGGGGGGUGAAUUGGGUUUUCUAAAAAUUAUGUUCUCUAAUUUUUACUUUGAAUUGAAUGCAGCGGAAUGAUAAGAUGUUAUUUACUUAAGCUCUAGGCAAUUACAAGUAAAGCAGUGGAAAAUUAAGCUAGAGCAAUUAUACUAUGGCUUUAGGGUGCAAUUGAUCUAAAAUUAACUUAUAGUUGUAUGAUCAAUUUUAAUCUAUGUGUAUGGUAAGAAUGGAGUGGAAGCUAAGCAAAUUCUAAACAAUCACUUAUAACUCUAUAAAAAACAAAAGCUAGAGAUAUUACACAAUCAAGUAUGAACGUAAGGCAUGAAAUACAAGAGAUAAGGCAUCACAAAUAUAAAGAUGUAUAGUGGUUCGGUGCACCCCAGCACCUACAUCCACUUCCCAAGAUCUCUUGGGAAUUUCACUAUAAUCCCCUAGAUUACAGCCGGUUGUUUUACAAGCUCACAACCUAACUUGUUG
RNAcentral lists this long non-coding RNA (777 nucleotides) under Phoenix dactylifera (date palm). Its description in RNAcentral is "long non-coding RNA (PDAC_LNC018346)". Lineage: Eukaryota; Viridiplantae; Streptophyta; Magnoliopsida; Arecales; Arecaceae. The record is from RNAcentral.